AAGGGGCGGGGAGGACAGUUUAAGCUCGGACGGGCAGAGUUGCGGGUGGCAGAGUGCGGGCUCGGUGGGAGGUUCGCUGGCGGGGAGCGAGGACCGCAGCUGCCUGGGAACAAGGAGGCGCUGGGGCUCCGGGGUCAGCCCAGCACCUCCUCCUGCAGAGGAGAUCGGCGAAGCUGGGGGACGCACCGGCUGCCAAGGCGACCCUGCGCGCAGGGAAGAGAAGGAUGGCUAAAGGAGACUUGAUUUUCUUGGAUUUGCUGCAAUUCCUUAAACCAAACCAGUCUUUCGAGGCGUUAAAGUAAAUUACGGGUGGCAGUGCAGAAGCCAAAAUGGGAGCUCCUAGAAGUGGUUUCUGAAAAAUAAGACCGCAUAUACACGAGUAAGCAAGCACAGGAAUCUGAAAAAAACCACAGGUAUGUAAAACAAUUAAGCCACCUAUCUGGUUUUAUAAUUAUUGCAUUCCACUAUCGACAUUUAUACAGACUUUUAUGAAGUGAAGCACUUUGAGGUGGUCUCAGAGGAGAAAACAUGUUUAUUCUAUUCCAGACAAUGUAUUUAAAUAAAAAGGCUUGAUCUCAUCGUUGCAUUCUUUUUUACCAUUCUAAAAGAGAAGCACUGUUUAUGACCAUGUGCCUUUGCAUGUAACCAGUUGUUGCUUGAUACUUGUUUUUAAGAACAUUUUUCCUGAGAUCAACCAAUGAACUUGUAUGCAUAUAUGCAGAACCCAUGGACACAGACAAUGGGGUGGUGAAGGCCUGGGGUGGGGGAACAGGAGCAGGCUAGAAGGUAUUAAUGGGGGGGAAAGAGGAUCUAUGUAAUACUUUCAAUAAUAAAUAUUUUUAAAGACAAAUAUAAUUUUAAAAAAGAAUACUUUUCCUGACGCUGUAUAAAACUGCAAUUGUUAUGAAUAAUUUCAUUUGGGUAACAGUUUAACAGAGUCAUCCUGUUGAGCCAAUGUGACAAGUGUUUGCUUUUUACAAAAUCUGCAUCUCAUUGUUGACUUGAUAUCUCACUUAGCAGAAUACUGAAAUACCAAUGCAUUAGGUAUUCUUUUAAGCCAGGUUCUUUAAACCAGCUCUUCUCUCUUUAACCAUCUCAUCAUUUUUCUCCUCCUACCUUGCUGCUUUUCUAAGCCCAACAUGUAAGAUGUACCUUCAUAAUUCACCCACUUGACUGAACUAACGACAGGUUUAAUAUGAGAUCAAAGACAAUCAAGGUCAAAAAUUUUUUUUCAUUAUGUCACAGUUAAAAAGAAUUUGCCUUUGAUUAUCAUUAAAAUGCAAUAUUUUGCAUGUUAAGACCCUGUUUCUUUUUAUUAAAGUAUAGUUGACAUACAAUAUUAUAUAUAGUUUCAGGUGUACAACAUGCAUAGCCAAUAGUUAUAUUCCUUACAAUAUAAUUGCCAGAAUAAAUCUAGUAAACAUCUGUCACCAUACAAAAUUAUUAUGAUAAUAUUAAGGCCCCUUUUCAAUAAUUGAGUAGCACAGUGUUAUGAAUGGUAGAAGAAGCCAGAAGGGGGAAAGGUUCACCUUUGUGGAUUUUUGUUUUUCUUCCUUAAAAUGGUGGGUCACGGUGCUCUCACAAGGAGGCUAAAGUUAUUAUGUUGGCUAUAAAAGGAUCAGGCAUCAAAAUGGCUGUUAAAGAGAAUGAAGCUUUCUCUUUCCUGAGGGGGUGUAAGUGUUCAUCACAGUGCCAGAAUGCGAUGAUAUCUUGUGAUUUUUGACAUUCUGCCUUUACAGCUGAAGAGGGAUUUUUUUUUAGCCCCUGCCAAUGAGGGUGUAAAACAAAAUCAGAUGCCAUUCUUGAAGCUUAAAAAUAUCAAAUUAGACAUUUAACCCAUAGAAAGCAAAUUGAGAGCUCUGAAAGUAUAGACUCAACUAAAGACAAAGUUUCUUACUGUAAAAAGCCCAUGGCCUGGCUGGCAUGGCUCAAUGGUUGAGUAUCAACCUAUGAACCAGGAGGUCACAUUUUGAUUCCCAGUCAGGACACAUGCCCAGGUUGCGGGCUUGAUCCCCAGUAGGAGAUGUGCAGGAGGCAGUCAACCAAUGAUUCUCUCUCAUCAUUGAUGUUUCUAUCUCUCCCUCUCCCUUCCUCUCUGAAAUCAAUAAAAAUAUAUUUUAAAAAAAGAUGGACCUCAGCUAUCAAGCCCAGACCACUUUUUUUGUUGUUUGUUUGUUUGUUUUUUAAAAAUAUAUAUAUAUUUCUUUACUGGUUUCAGAGAGAAAGGGAGAAGGAGAGAGAGAUAGAAACAUCAAUGAUGAGAGAGAAUCAUUGGUUGGCUGCCUCCUGCACAUCCCCCACUGGGGAUCGAGCCCGCAACCCAGGCAUGUGCCCUUGGGCCAGAAUCGAACCUGGGACCCUUCAGUCCGCAGGCCGACACUCUAUCCACUGAGCCAAGCCGGCUAGGGCCCAGACCACUUUCUUAAAAAACAAAACAAAACAAAAAAAAUAAAAAACCAUGGAUAUGAAGUGGCUUCAGGAAAGCUAACGAACAUUUAGGAACAUGUAAAUUUGCACUGCAUGGACCUUAGGUACAUUACCUGACUCAGGAAACUGGGAAGUAACUAAUCAUCCCCCAAUGUAUCUAAGAGGACUAAGCUCUAAUCUUCUAAGUCAGAAAGGAAAAGAGCACAGUUGAGCUUUUAUUCCUUUUUUAAAAGAUACUUUUUCUUUAUUGAUUUCAGAGAGAGGAAGGGGAAGGGGAGAGAGAUAGAAACAUCAAUGAUGAGAGAGAAUAAUAACUGAUCAGCUGCCUCCUGCAUGCCCCCUCCUGGGCAUUGAGCUCGCAACCCGGGCAUGUGCCCUGACCAGAAAUCAAAGGGGAACAGACUGACAUACCUCGAUGUGAGGGUGGGGAGACAAGGAGAGAUAAACUAAAGAACUUACAUAGCUAUAUGCAUAGCCCAUGGACACAGGCAAUAGGUUGGUGAAGACUUUAGGGGGAGGUAGGGCCUGGGCAAAGGGGAGUACAGGGGGUAGGUGGGAGAUAAUCUGCAAUAGUGUCAACAAUAAAAAAUAUAUAUAUUAAUAAGAAACAAACAAAAAAAAGUGGUGACUUCCUGUAUCAUGGGUCGACAUUCAACCACUUAGCCACACCAGCCAGGCUUAUUCCUGUUUUGAAUUAUAGCAUUCUCAUUAUAGAGACAUUAAGUGCUUUAGAGAUAUUUUAUUUUUAAGGUAACAUACCUUAAAAAUAAAGUGUAAAAUGCAUUAAUCCAGCGGUUCUCAACCUGUGGGUCACGACCCCUUUGGCGAACGACCCUUUCAUAGGGGUCGCCUAAGACCAUCCUGCAGAUCAGAUAUUUACAUGAUGAUUCAUAACAGUAACAACAUUACAGUUAUGAAGUAGCAAUGGAAAUAAUUUUAUGGUUGGGUCACAACAUGAGGAACUGUAUUUAAAGGGCCAGAAGGUUGAGAACCACUGCAAUCGAAAGUGUAUUUUUUAUAUGUGUGUU
Myotis daubentonii (Daubenton's bat) is the source of this 3455-nucleotide long non-coding RNA. RefSeq lists it as uncharacterized. Lineage: Eukaryota; Metazoa; Chordata; Mammalia; Chiroptera; Vespertilionidae. The record is from RefSeq and is a predicted model, not a curated record.